GGGGAAUUUUGGACAAUGGGCGCAAGCCUGAUCCAGCCAUGCCGCGUGAGUGAAGAAGGCCUUCGGGUUGUAAAGCUCUUUCGGCCGGGAAGAAAUCGUGCAGGCUAAUACCCUGUAUGGAUGACGGUACCGGAAUAAGAAGCACCGGCUAACUACGUGCCAGCAGCCGCGGUAAUACGUAGGGUGCGAGCGUUAAUCGGAAUUACUGGGCGUAAAGCGUGCGCAGGCGGUUUUGUAAGACAGGCGUGAAAUCCCCGGGCUCAACCUGGGAACUGGGGUUUUGACUGCAAGACUAAAGGACGGGCGGGGGGGGUUGAAAUCCACGUGUAGCAGGGGAAUGCGUAGGGGAGUGGGGGAAAACCAAUGGGGAAGGCAGGCCCCUGGGUCGAUUCUGACCCUCAUUCAAGAAAGCGUGGGGAGCAAACA
Molecule: ribosomal RNA, 426 nt
Filed under: uncultured Azovibrio sp.
Lineage: Bacteria; Pseudomonadati; Pseudomonadota; Betaproteobacteria; Rhodocyclales; Rhodocyclaceae
Description: bacterial SSU rRNA
Rfam family: Bacterial small subunit ribosomal RNA
Source: RNAcentral